AAGACUAUAGUCAAUCUUUUAUGACAUAUGAGUUGCAUUCAUAAGGAGUUUUUUAACUAGUUUUA
Molecule: transfer RNA, 65 nt
Filed under: Lyreidus brevifrons
Lineage: Eukaryota; Metazoa; Arthropoda; Malacostraca; Decapoda; Lyreididae
Description: tRNA-Ala
Source: RNAcentral